GAUGAACGCUGGCGGCGUGCCUAAUACAUGCAAGUCGAGCGAACGGAUGAGGAGCUUGCUCCUCUGACGUUAGCGGCGGACGGGUGAGUAACACGUGGAUAACCUACCUAUAAGACUGGGAUAACUUCGGGAAACCGGAGCUAAUACCGGAUAAUAUAUUGAACCGCAUGGUUCAAUAGUGAAAGACGGUUUUGCUGUCACUUAUAGAUGGAUCCGCGCUGCAUUAGCUAGUUGGUAAGGUAACGGCUUACCAAGGCAACGAUGCAUAGCCGACCUGAGAGGGUGAUCGGCCACACUGGAACUGAGACACGGUCCAGACUCCUACGGGAGGCAGCAGUAGGGAAUCUUCCGCAAUGGGCGAAAGCCUGACGGAGCAACGCCGCGUGAGUGAUGAAGGUCUUCGGAUCGUAAAACUCUGUUAUUAGGGAAGAACAAAUGUGUAAGUAACUGUGCACGUCUUGACGGUACCUAAUCAGAAAGCCACGGCUAACUACGUG
RNAcentral lists this ribosomal RNA (497 nucleotides) under uncultured bacterium. RNAcentral's name for it is "partial 16S ribosomal RNA". It matches the Rfam family "Bacterial small subunit ribosomal RNA", at positions 28 to 507 of the family's 1533-position model. The record is from RNAcentral.